GGCGCAAUAUAUUGAAUUUGUUGAAGAUAUGACGGCCUGCAAAGCCGUUUAGGCCGGUUCGACUCCGGCUCGCGCCUCCA
This 80-nucleotide transfer RNA is filed under the name Burkholderia contaminans. RNAcentral's name for it is "tRNA-Cys". It matches the Rfam family "tRNA". From Rfam's summary of the family: Transfer RNA (tRNA) molecules are approximately 80 nucleotides in length. Their secondary structure includes four short double-helical elements and three loops (D, anti-codon, and T loops). The record is from RNAcentral. Lineage: Bacteria; Pseudomonadati; Pseudomonadota; Betaproteobacteria; Burkholderiales; Burkholderiaceae.